AUACGGAGGGGGUUAGCGUUGUUCGGAAUUACUGGGCGUAAAGCGCACGUAGGCGGAUUGGAAAGUUGGGGGUGAAACCCCAGGGCUCAACCCUGGAACUGCCUCCAAAACUAACAGUCUAGAGUUCGAGAGAGGUGAGUGGAAUUCCAAGUGUAGAGGUGAAAUUCGUAGAUAUUUGGAGGAACACCAGUGGCGAAGGCGGCUCACUGGCUCGAUACUGACGCUGAGGUGCGAAAGCGUGGGGAGCAAACAGGAUUAGAAACCCCAGUAGUCC
This 274-nucleotide ribosomal RNA is filed under the name uncultured bacterium. Its description in RNAcentral is "partial 16S ribosomal RNA". It matches the Rfam family "Bacterial small subunit ribosomal RNA", at positions 523 to 796 of the family's 1533-position model. The record is from RNAcentral.